ACCAUACCAGCUGAAACAGAGAAGUACCUUCUCCAGACAGCUAGACUGACCCUACCAGCUGAAACAGAGCAGUACCUUCUCCUCCAUACAGCUAGACUGACCAUACCAGCUGAAACAGAGCAGUACCUCCUCCUCCAUACAGCUAGACUGACCAUACCAGCUGAAACAGAGCAGUACCUCCUCCAUACAGCUAGACUGACCAUACCAGCUGAAACAGAGCAGUACCUUCUCCUCCAUACAGCUAGACUGACCAUACCAGCUGAAACAGAGCAGUACCUUCUCCAUACAGCUAGACUGACCAUACCAGCUGAAACAGAGCAGUACCUUCUCCUCCAUACAGCUAGACUGACCAUACCAGCUGAAACAGAGCAGUACCUCCUCCUCCAUACAGCUAGACUGACCAUACCAGCUGAAACAGAGCAGUACCUCCUCCUCCAUACAGCUAGACUGACCAUAACAGCUGAAACAGAGCAGUACCUCCUCCUCCAUACAGCUAGACUGACCAUAACAGCUGAAACAGAGCAGUACCUUCUCCAUACAGCUAGACUGACCAUAACAGCUGAAACAGAGCAGUACCUCCUCCAUACAGCUAGACUGACCCUACCAGCUGAAACAGAGCAGUACCUUCUCCUCCAUACAGCUAGACUGACCAUAACAGCUGAAACAGAGCAGUACCUUCUCCAGACAGCUAGACUGACCAUACCAGCUGAAACAGAGCAGUACCUUCUCCAUACAGCUAGACUGACCAUACCAGCUGAGACAGAGCAGUACCUCCUCCUCCAUACAGCUAGACUGACCAUACCAGCUGAAACAGAGCAGUACCUUCUCCAUACAGCUAGACUGACCAUACCAGCUGAAACAGAGCAGUACCUUCCCCAUACAGCUAGACUGACCAUACCAGCUGAAACAGAGCAGUACCUUCUCCUCCAUACAGCUAGACUGACCAUACCAGCUGAAACAGAGCAGUACCUCCUCCAUACAGCUAGACUGACCAUACCAGCUGAAACAGAGCAGUACCUUCUCCAUACAGCUAGACUGACCAUACCAGCUGAAACAGAGCAGUACCUCCUCCUCCAUACAGCUAGACUGACCAUACCAGCUGAAACAGAGCAGUACCUUCUCCAUACAGCUAGACUGACCAUACCAGCUGAGACAGAGCAGUACCUUCUCCAUACAGCUAGACUGACCAUACCAGCUGAAACAGAGCAGUACCUCCUCCUCCAUACAGCUAGACUGACCAUACCAGCUGAAACAGAGCAGUACCUUCUCCAUACAGCUAGACUGACCAUACCAGCUGAGACAGAGCAGUACCUUCUCCAUACAGCUAGACUGACCAUACCAGCUGAAACAGAGCAGUACCUCCUCCUCCAUACAGCUAGACUGACCAUACCAGCUGAAACAGAGCAGUACCUUCUCCAUACAGCUAGACUGACCGUACCAGCUGAGACAGAGCAGUACCUUCUCCAUACAGCUAGACUGACCAUACCAGCUGAAACAGAGCAGUACCUUCUCCUCCAUACAGCUAGACUGACCAUACCAGCUGAGACAGAGCAGUACCUUCUCCAUACAGCUAGACUGACCAUACCAGCUGAAACAGAGCAGUACCUCCUCCUCCAUACAGCUAGACUGACCAUACCAGCUGAAACAGAGCAGUACCUUCUCCUCCAUACAGCUAGACUGACCAUACCAGCUGAAACAGAGAAGUACCUUCUCCAGACAGCUAGACUGACCCUACCAGCUGAAACAGAGCAGUAG
RNAcentral lists this long non-coding RNA (1755 nucleotides) under Oncorhynchus mykiss (rainbow trout). RNAcentral's name for it is "lncRNA (ENSOMYG00000077209.1)". The record is from RNAcentral. Lineage: Eukaryota; Metazoa; Chordata; Actinopteri; Salmoniformes; Salmonidae.